This 253-nucleotide ribosomal RNA is filed under the name uncultured bacterium. RNAcentral describes it as "partial 16S ribosomal RNA". It matches the Rfam family "Bacterial small subunit ribosomal RNA", at positions 524 to 776 of the family's 1533-position model. The record is from RNAcentral.
GACAGAGGGGGCAAGCGUUGCUCGGAAUCACUGGGCGUAAAGGGCGCGUAGGCGGGAUGGCAAGUCAGUCGUGAAAUCUCUCGGCUCAACCGAGAAACGUCGGCUGAUACUGCCGUUCUUGAGGGAUGCAGAGGAGACUGGAAUUCCCGGUGUAGCGGUGAAAUGUGUAGAGAUCGGGAGGAACACCGGUGGCGAAGGCGGGUCUCUGGGCAUUUCCUGACGCUGAGGCGCGAAAGCGUGGGGAGCGAACGGG